RNAcentral lists this ribosomal RNA (516 nucleotides) under uncultured bacterium. Its description in RNAcentral is "bacterial SSU rRNA". It matches the Rfam family "Bacterial small subunit ribosomal RNA", at positions 10 to 507 of the family's 1533-position model. The record is from RNAcentral.
AGUUUGAUCCUGGCUCAGAGCGAACGUUAGCGGCGGGCUUAACACAUGCAAGUCGAGCGAGAAAGUGGCUUCGGCCAUCAGUAAAGCGGCGGACGGGUGAGUAACACGUAGGUAAUCUUCCCUUGAGCGGGGGACAACGAGCCGAAAGGCUCGCUAAUACCGCAUAAGUUCCCAGGGGUCCUCGGGCCUUGGGAGGAAAGCUAGGUAGCAAUAUCCGGCACUCGAGGAGGAGCCUGCGUCGCAUCAGCUAGUUGGUGGGGUAAUGGCCUACCAAGGCGAAGACGCGUAGCUGGUCUGAGAGGAUGAUCAGCCACACUGAAACUGAGACACGGUUCAGACUCCUACGGGAGGCAGCAGUGGGGAAUAUUGGACAAUGGGCGCAAGCCUGAUCCAGCCACGCCGCGUGAGUGAUGAAGGCCUUCGGGUCGUAAAGCUCUGUGGGGAGGGACGAACCGCCGGCGGUUAAUACCCGACGGCAUGACGGUACCUCCUUAGCAAGCACCGGCUAACUUCGUG